GAUGAACGCUAGCUACAGGCUUAACACAUGCAAGUCGAGGGGAAACGGCAUUAAGUGCUUGCACUUUUUGGACGUCGACCGGCGCACGGGUGAGUAACGCGUAUCCAACCUUCCCAUGACUAAGGGAUAACCUGCCGAAAGGCAGACUAAUACCUUAUGGUCUUCACUGACGGCAUCAGAUGUGAAGUAAAGAUUUAUCGGUUAUGGAUGGGGGUGCGUCUGAUUAGCUUGUUGGCGGGGUAACGGCCCACCAAGGCAACGAUCAGUAGGGGUUCUGAGAGGAAGGUCCCCCACAUUGGAACUGAGACACGGUCCAAACUCCUACGGGAGGCAGCAGUGAGGAAUAUUGGUCAAUGGGCGAGAGCCUGAACCAGCCAAGUAGCGUGCAGGAUGACGGCCCUAUGGGUUGUAAACUGCUUUUGUAUGGGGAUAAAGUCAAUCACGUGUGAUUGUUUGCAGGUACCAUACGAAUAAGGACCGGCUAAUUCCGU
RNAcentral lists this ribosomal RNA (491 nucleotides) under uncultured bacterium. RNAcentral's name for it is "partial 16S ribosomal RNA". It matches the Rfam family "Bacterial small subunit ribosomal RNA", at positions 28 to 506 of the family's 1533-position model. The record is from RNAcentral.